CGGAGCCUGGAGUGGGGGAAGAGAAGAAAGCAAAAUGCUAAGCCUGUUCCAGUUGCCCAAAGAAAGGAUCUAGUUUAAUCCUGAAGUGCAGCCACAUAAUAAAGUGCAGCACUGACGGGGGGAGGGGACACAUGAACCGCUAACUGAUAGAGGAACCAGCCCCUUCCAUCUCCCUUCCCAGAGGUUGUGCCUAUGGCCAAAUAUAACAUAGAGAAAUCUAGUGCAGCUGUAAGGAAACCCUAAGCCAGGCACAUUUCGCCUUGAACCAGGACCAAACCAAAAUCCAGGCUGGGGUCCUGCUACUGUAUCAUCUGUUCUCCGGGACAAUCUUGAGCAAAGCCAGCCUGGUCUGUGGGUGACACAAACCCAACAGCUGCCCCUGGAAGUGUGGGGUUGUUUGAUAUGUCCGGUUGCUGAGCAUUGAGUUUUGCCAAAAGCUUUUGGCUGAAUUUCCGGACAGAGGCCGCAGAUCUCCCAUUCCUUUCGAUGGGAAACCCCCAGUCGCCAUCAAAAAAUCUCAACCUUUAUCUUUGGAAAGAAAUCAGCCCCCCACCUCCAAACACCCACCCCCAGCUUGCAGCCAGCAAAAACUAGGUCUUCCUUUGGCUGAGCCCAUCUCUGUUUCCUGCAAAGCUCUCUCUGCAACCCCAGCUGAACGGGAACACACAUACCCUGCCCUGUGUGAAGACAAUCGCGCCAGGAGCAACUGGGCUUUCCGUUCCCUUCUCUGAGCACCUAAGAACAGACGCACCAGAUUACGAACCUGAAAUUAAAGGAGGAACUCAUAAAAGAAAGCCCAGAUCCCACCCAGGAGCCCGGCUUUCCACAGCAUUUAGAGCUUGCUGCAUGCUUCCCUCUUUGUAAUGUUCAUCAGCCUCCUGGAGUUGUCCUGGAUUUAAAGAGCUGCUGGCACUUCUUGGAAAGAGCGAGAAAACAUCGCCUGCAGAACGGAAUCAGCUUUCCUGAGCCCGGAUUUGUAUACUGGUCAGGUGCUGUGCGGGCAUGGAGGGGGCAACCCUUAAGGUCAUCACACCAGAGGAUGCUGAUAAAGACAGAUGUGCUGUUGGAUUGACAGUCACAAUGGAAAGGGAAAGAAAAGUUUCAAAGCUACCUUCCCUUUUUCCCAUGAACACUUUUAAUUGACACUUCAUCUUUGGACAGCACUGUUCGCCAGCCCCAGCCAUGGUGGAAGUGAUUUUAGCUGAUCUCUCACUCCUGAGGGUCACAAAGGCACAGACAGUACAGCUGCUACUGGGGUCCCGAAGCCACCUGGGCCUGUAGGCCAUCAGCCUGUUUGCUGCAAUGGAUGGUGCAAGCCCAACUCAUCGCAGAGUGGCACGGGAACGUGCCCUACCACAGUGGAGAAAUAAGGUCCUUAGAAACCUUCAGGAGAGGAUUGCAGAGCAUCUCCAUGAAAGUGUCAUCAAGGUCCCUCAGCAGGAUAAAAGGGCCAUUCCUGUGUACAUAAACAAAGUGCUCCCAAGCCACCCCCCGCCUAACCCAACAGGGGAAUGAAAAGCAGGUGCCAGCUCUACUUCUGUUUGUUGUAUCUCUGUCUCUGCUCCUAUGAGUACAAUGAACAGUCGAUACCUUUGUCUUGUUAACUGGGGAGAUGGGCUGGGUGCCAUCUUUGAAUGUCAACACUGUAAGGAAAAAUGCAUCCACAUACAUCGGAGUUGCCUUGACCUUCCUCCUAGGCUCACCCGUCCUCGCCUGGUGGGACUGGCUAGACUGCGGCGGAGGCUCAAACAGGUCCCAGCUCGCAGCACGGAAGGAAGCUAGACAAUUUACAGCACCUGCAAAUGCAGUGUCAGGACAGAGAAGUGACUGUUUGACACCCUCCUAACCCAUCAACCUCCUGAGGGCUGGAUGUGGAACAAAAACCUGGAAUGAGGGACCCAAGAAGGAAAGGAGGGAGCACGGAACGACAUGGAAUUGAUGACUUUAUCCCGAGCAGGGUUGCUGAUGGCGUCGAUGUCCUGAGUUAACUGUUUCGGAGAAGUCAUUUACCAUGGCAAAAUAGAGGUGGAUUUGGCCAGAAGGGGCCACUCGUGAGAGCUGAUGUUGUUUAACAGGGUAUUGUAACACUUCAGAUUUAAUGGCUGCUGCGAUGCGGCAUCUGUUCAGGGCUUAUCCCAACAGCAGAAGAACUCUGAGCCUCCUGUACCCAAGCACAGGCCCCUGCCACUGCAGCGAGAAUCUCUGCAGGCUCUCGGCCAUACGGGGCCUGUGACACACAGCUGAGCAGAUCUCAUUCUGGCCAGUAGAGGGCAGGAAUGCACAUGCACAGUAGCCAGGACAUGACACUAUUGUGAGCUUUGGAACAUGGACCUGCUCCCUGACAGGUGAGCUGAGUGACCCUCUCCUGUCGUAGAGAAUACCAAUAUCUAACAAUGCAUUUCUAGCACACAUGCUAUAGAGCAGUGGUUCUCAACCUAUUUACCAUUGUGGGCCACAUCCAAUACUACCUGUCUGGCCCUGAGGAUGUCACAUGGGCUGCAGCUCUGUGCUGAUUGGGCCGUAAGCGGUCCACAGGCUGCGGGUUGAGUCUCUCUGGCCCAAUGGCUGUUCAAGUAUUUUAUACGCAGUGGAAUGUUUCAACAGGACAGAUGGAGAGCCCCACCCCAGAAUACCCUAUAGCCCAGUGACUGGGGCACUCACCAGGAAUAGGAGAAACCUGCGUUCAAGUCUCGGCUCCAGAGCAGGGAUUCAAACCGGUCUCUCCCAUCCCAGUUGAGUGCCCUAGGCACUGGGCUAUUGGGCACAACAGCGGCACCGCCUCCCCCUCUUCCCCUUGUGAACAUUGCCCGAAAAAUCAAAAUAUUAGUAACCAUUUCAACACUGCCGAUUUCGUUUCCCGCCAUGACCGAAGCAAUUCGCUGAACUCGCCACGAAUUUGCAAAACGCCCCAAAUCUGCCUUUGUUGUUGAAAAAAAACCGUAUCAGCUGAAAAAUGUCAGCCAGCUUUAGUUGUCAUGCAACCAAACAAGCCAGGGGGUGAACCCGGGCUGGGUGAAGGCUUCAACGGGACAUUCCAAAUGUUCCAUCUCAAGAAGCUGCAUUUUCUUACCCGGAACGAACCUCUCCCCAUCCCCAAUGCCCCAUCCUGGGCUGUAAUCACACAAGUGUUUCUAAGCCAUUCCUUGCAGUGGCGUGGGUUCACCAGUACCAAUGGGAUAUUGACCAUUUUCAAUGUCCCUUUGAAGCAUUGUGUGUAUAAAGCAGAGAGGGGCUCAGGCAUAGAUCCUCAAGCAUAGUUUGGUGCCUAAGUCUCACUGAAACCAAUAGAUCUUUGACACUCUGGACAUCAGUCUGCAAGGCAGACCAGAAACAGGAAAUGACAACAGAGAGAAAACAGAAAGGGGGGUGGGGGGAGAGAUUCCAAAGAUGGUGGCAACUUUGCCAGGCAUGGAUUGAGAGGUCCCAGCGGAAGUGCCUAAUCCGUUAUAACUGGCACUCAACCAGAAAAGGACUGGGGACCGCUGACCUAGAGAGAACGAAGAGAGAGAGCUAAAUUCUCUUGUUUACACUGGUGCAGUCCCACUGACUUCAGUGGAGUUUCAGCAAUGUAAGCGGAGGAGAAUUUAGUCCGUGGGAGCUCCGAUUGUCACAGGUGCUGAGUUCCCACAACUCCAGCUGCUGUCAAGGGGAGCUGUGGUGCCUCAGUACCUCUUCUAGUCAUGCCUGGGGGGUCUGAGCCUCUUUAUAGAUCAGACGCUGGUUCAAAUCCAUUAUCUGAUCUGCUUUUAAUGGAUCAGGAGUCCCAGGCCCUGGUUUCUGUUCCCAGCUCAGCCACUGGCCUGAUGCAUGACUUUGGGCAAGUCACCUGACCUCUCCAUGCCUCAGUUUCCCACCCUUUAUCUGUCUUUGAGCGGCAGUUCUUUGGGGCUGGGACUGCCUCUCGCUAUGGGUGUGUGUAGCGUCAGCACAAUGGGACCCUAUUCCUGGUCGGGGCUUCAAGGUGCUAUUGUAUAAGACGUAUAAUAAAUAAUAAUAAUUUAAAAAUA
Non-coding RNA from Chrysemys picta bellii (western painted turtle), 4007 nucleotides. The record is from RefSeq and is a predicted model, not a curated record. NCBI's taxonomy places the organism in Eukaryota, Metazoa, Chordata, Testudines, Emydidae.